RNAcentral lists this ribosomal RNA (478 nucleotides) under uncultured bacterium. RNAcentral describes it as "partial 16S ribosomal RNA". It matches the Rfam family "Bacterial small subunit ribosomal RNA", at positions 28 to 523 of the family's 1533-position model. The record is from RNAcentral.
GACGAACGCUGGCGGCGUGCUUAACACAUGCAAGUCGAACAGUAAGGCCCUUCGGGGUACACGAGUGGCGAACGGGUGAGUAACACGUGGGUGAUCUGCCCUGCACUUCGGGAUAAGCCUGGGAAACUGGGUCUAAUACCGGAUAGGACUCCGGACUGCAUGGUCUGGGGUGGAAAGCUUUUGCGGUGUGGGAUGGGCCCGCGGCCUAUCAGCUUGUUGGUGGGGUGAUGGCCUACCAAGGCGACGACGGGUAGCCGGCCUGAGAGGGUGACCGGCCACACUGGGACUGAGAUACGGCCCAGACUCCUACGGGAGGGAGCAGUGGGGAAUAUUGCACAAUGGGCGCAAGCCUGAUGCAGCGACGCCGCGUGAGGGAUGACGGCCUUCGGGUUGUAAACCUCUUUCAGCACCGACGAAGCGCAAGUGACGGUAGGUGCAGAAGAAGGACCGGCCAACUACGUGCCAGCCGCCGCAGUAA